AUUCCAGCUCCAAUAGCGUAUAUUAAAGUUGUUGCAGUUAAAACGCUCGUAGUCGGAUUUUGGCAUCACGCCGAACUGUCUGCCGAUUGGUAAGUACGGUUUGGCGGGUGCUUCCUUCCGGAGGCUCAUUCCCUUCUUCAUUGAAGGGUUCGUUGGUUCCGGGUCUUUUACUUUGAGAAAAUUAGAGUGUUCAAAGCAGGCCUAUGCUCUGAAUAGGUUAGCAUGGAAUAAUAGAAUAGGACUUUGGUUCUAUUUUGUUGGUUUCUAGGACCGAAGCAAUGAUUAAUAGGGACAGUUGGGGGCAUUCAUAUUCCAUUGUCAGAGGUGAAAUUCUUGGAUUAACGGAAGAUGAACUUCUGCGAAAGCAUCUGCCAAGGAUGUUUUCAUUG
This 389-nucleotide ribosomal RNA is filed under the name Picozoa sp. RNAcentral describes it as "partial small subunit ribosomal RNA". It matches the Rfam family "Eukaryotic small subunit ribosomal RNA", at positions 582 to 975 of the family's 1831-position model. The record is from RNAcentral. Lineage: Eukaryota; Picozoa.